GGAGAGGACAGGACGGUCGCCGGCUCGGAUGCAAGGGUCGCCAUACCGACCCGCAAGCAUCCGGGCGGGAGGAAAGUCCGGGCUCCGAAGGACACGGUGAUGGGCAACACCCACCGGCCGCGAGGCCAGGGAAAGUGCAACAGAAAGCAGACCGCCGCACGGGCCUGCCCGUGCGGUAAGGGUGAAACGGCGAGGUAAGAGCUCACCAGCAGGCCGGGUGACCGGCCUGGCUAGGCAAACCCCACCGGGAGCAAGGUCAAACAGGGAGCAGUGACGGUGUCCCCGCGCGCAAGCGCUGGGCCGUCCGCGGGUCGGUCCGGUCCGCUAUCGACUUCCGGGUAGACUGCUGGAGGAGUUGAGCAAUCGGCUUCCUAGAGAAAUGGCCGUCGCCUGCAUGCGCAGGAACAGAACCCGGCUUACACGUCCUCUCCAACC
Molecule: RNase P RNA, 435 nt
Filed under: Pirellulales bacterium
Lineage: Bacteria; Pseudomonadati; Planctomycetota; Planctomycetia; Pirellulales
Description: RNase P RNA component class A
Rfam family: Bacterial RNase P class A
About the family: Ribonuclease P (RNase P) is a ubiquitous endoribonuclease, found in archaea, bacteria and eukarya as well as chloroplasts and mitochondria. Its best characterised activity is the generation of mature 5'-ends of tRNAs by cleaving the 5'-leader elements of precursor-tRNAs. Cellular RNase Ps are ribonucleoproteins.
Source: RNAcentral